AAUUCAUGGUGCGGGCAUUUUCGAAUAAACAUUUUGAAUCUUUCCCAUGCCUCAUAGAAACUUUCUCCCUCCAUUUGUCUAAAAAUAGCAAUUUCUCUUCUUAGUU
Small nucleolar RNA from Gossypium raimondii (Peruvian cotton), 106 nucleotides. It matches the Rfam family "Plant small nucleolar RNA R71". From Rfam's summary of the family: R71 is a member of the C/D box family of snoRNAs containing the C (UGAUGA) and D (CUGA) box motifs. The record is from Rfam. NCBI's taxonomy places the organism in Eukaryota, Viridiplantae, Streptophyta, Magnoliopsida, Malvales, Malvaceae.